RNAcentral lists this long non-coding RNA (278 nucleotides) under Hordeum vulgare. Its description in RNAcentral is "long non-coding RNA (HVUL_LNC015712)". Lineage: Eukaryota; Viridiplantae; Streptophyta; Magnoliopsida; Poales; Poaceae. The record is from RNAcentral.
GAGAGAGGAGUACCUCCAGCAGCUGUGUUUUUUGUGUGGCGGCUGGCUUAGGAACGGGAUGGCUGGGAGCAUCCUUUUUAGGUCAGUCCCACUACAUGGGCCUGGGCCCUAAGAGAUAACUUGUAUGGGCUGGGCCAUACCGGUUCAACACUCCCCCUCAAGAUGGGUGGUAGAUAUCUAUCAUUCCCAUCUUGUGACAUGCCAAGUUACAAUCCUUUGUUCCCAGACCCUUUGUCAAACAAUCUGCAAACUGCUGCCCAGAACUGACAUGAGUAAGG